Molecule: long non-coding RNA, 862 nt
Organism: Scaptodrosophila lebanonensis
Lineage: Eukaryota; Metazoa; Arthropoda; Insecta; Diptera; Drosophilidae
Exons: 2
Source: RefSeq, a predicted model, not a curated record
UUCAUUAUAUGGCGACCAUGUUAUGUUAUGUUAACCACAAGAAUUGUGAAUUGAAUGUGAAAUGAAUUUAAUGAAUUAAAUGUGAAAAAAAGCUCCAGCUGAGAGGACUUCAUCAUAUGAAUUCAAUGAGGAGACAACAAUGCGAGCGACUAUUGGCAAACAGUAGACCAACACCAACUUCAACAAGAACAUCAGCGGUCUGCUCCUGGAUUGAAGCACGGCAACAACCAGCAACAUCCAUCUUCACCAACUUCAACAAACAACAGGAGCUUCGGAAAUAAUCAACACCGUUAUCAAUAAAAACGGAUGGAAUUCAAAAAAAAAACUGACAAAUACCAAAGACAGUAAAAAGCUGCCCCAGAGACUGCGAGGGACCCCUCAUCGCAUUGUAUUGAAUGCGAAUACACAAGCCAACAUUGUACUAAAGAAAACGUCACCAGGAUCAACAAGUGCGAAAGGCAGAGGACCGCCUUUUGCACCAACGAGGGAGCAUCAGCGUUGCACAUCCGGCGACGUCCAGCUGAUGCUGGAGAAAACAUUCAUUUUGGGAAAGAAGAGCCAAGGACACCCGAGGAUGGAAAUAUAAAUUUAAAGAACUUUUUUUUUAAAUACUAAAUAUAUGUAUAUACAUAAGAACUUUGUAAGAUAAUUUAAAACAUUAUAUACAUACAUAUAACCGAAUUGUAAAACAACCUAAAAUAUCAUGUAUACAAUUAUAAGAAAAUUUUAAAAUUGAGAGGAACCUUUUCUGCCCGAUUAGAAGUAUAGCCCGUAAAGCUAUACGAACCACUAGGUAGGAACUUAUGCCCUGUUUCAUUUUUCAAUAAAACCUGGUCUCCUAUUUUCAACUUGAAAUCUAAAA